This is a long non-coding RNA of Cavia porcellus (domestic guinea pig), 636 nucleotides long. RefSeq lists it as uncharacterized. The record is from RefSeq and is a predicted model, not a curated record. The transcript has 3 exons. Lineage: Eukaryota; Metazoa; Chordata; Mammalia; Rodentia; Caviidae.
AGAGCACGGAAAGAGAUGGCAGUGUGGUGUGCAGCAUUGAUGACAUUUGAUCAAAGACCGAAUGAAGAGAGAAUAAGCCAUGGUCAAUCCAGGAAGAGCGCUCCAGGAGAAGAAACAGCAAAUGCAGAGACAGAGCUUGAUCCUUGCCAGCCCUCAGCUGCCUUAUCCAUACCAGAAUUGGGAAGCCCCAGUCCUGCUUUCCUCGGCAGGAAGAUUGACGUACUGUAAUGGAUGGAUUCCGAAGAUCCCGUCCAUCUGGAAGACCCUGAUCACGGCUAGCGAGUGGACUAUUAGCCUCAUGAGGACAGGGACUUUGGUCUGUCUGCUUAUAAACAGCUCACAGCUGCUCUUCUCUUCCCACUGGUGACCUCCUCUGGGAGACAAGGAUUCUCCAGGGAGCCAGACCUGAGAAUGAUUAGAGUUAUAAAGCAAGCCCAAGCUUGCAAAAAACUCCAACAGUCCGGGGCUAGGGGAGAGUGAAAACUCCUAUGAGUCUUCAGUAAGCCAAACUCAGAAGAAGCUGGGCAGCAGAAGCUGAGUCCAAGCUUGCAGAAGUCAAGAAAUCAUGUAAACAAGAAAUGAUCGUAGCUAUGAACAACAGGAAAUUAAUAAAAUAAACAGUGAUGACUCUUUAAA